This 468-nucleotide ribosomal RNA is filed under the name uncultured bacterium. RNAcentral's name for it is "partial 16S ribosomal RNA". It matches the Rfam family "Bacterial small subunit ribosomal RNA", at positions 28 to 507 of the family's 1533-position model. The record is from RNAcentral.
GACGAACGCUGGCGGCGUGCUUAACACAUGCAAGUCGAACGGAAAGGCCCUGCUUUUGUGGGGUGCUCGAGUGGCGAACGGGUGAGUAACACGUGAGUAACCUGCCCUUGACUUUGGGACAACUUCAGGAAACUGGGGCUAAUACCGGAUAGGAGCUCCUGCUGCAUGGUGGGGGUUGGAAAGUUUCGGCGGUUGGGGAUGGACUCGCGGCUUAUCAGCUUGUUGGUGGGGUAGUGGCUUACCAAGGCUUUGACGGGUAGCCGGCCUGAGAGGGUGACCGGCCACAUUGGGACUGAGAUACGGCCCAGACUCCUACGGGAGGCAGCAGUGGGGAAUAUUGCACAAUGAGCGGAAGCCUGAUGCAGCAACGCCGCGUGCGGGAUGACGGCCUUCGGGUUGUAAACCGCUUUCGCCUGUGACGAAGCGUGAGUGACGGUAAUGGGUAAAGAAGCACCGGCUAACUACGUG